GAAUUGACGGGACCCGCACAAGCGGUGGAUGAUGUGGUUUAAUUCGAUGCAACGCGAAAACCUUACCCACCUUUGACAUGGCAGGAAUCCCGAAGAGAUUGGGAGUGCUCGAAAGAGAACCUGCACACAGGUGCUGCAUGGCUGUCGUCAGCUCGUGUCGUGAGAUGUUGGGUUAAGUCCCGCAACGAGCGCAACCCUUGCCAUUAGUUGCUACGAAAGGGCACUCUAAUGGGACUGCCGGUGACAAACCGGAGGAAGGUGGGGAUGACGUCAAGUCCUCAUGGCCCUUAUAGGUGGGGCUACACACGUCAUACAAUGGCCGGUACAGAGGGUAGCCAACCCGCGAGGGGGAGCCAAUCCCACAAAGCCGGUCGUAGUCCGGAUCGCAGUCUGCAACUCGACUGCGUGAAGUCGGAAUCGCUAGUAAUCGCGGAUCAGCAUGUCGCGGUGAAUACGUUCCCGGGUCUU
RNAcentral lists this ribosomal RNA (468 nucleotides) under uncultured Allobrachymonas sp. RNAcentral describes it as "bacterial SSU rRNA". It matches the Rfam family "Bacterial small subunit ribosomal RNA", at positions 907 to 1382 of the family's 1533-position model. Lineage: Bacteria; Pseudomonadati; Pseudomonadota; Betaproteobacteria; Burkholderiales; Comamonadaceae. The record is from RNAcentral.